UUUCGCCCCGAGGCCGAAGCCACUCGCUGCUCGCGGCCGGCUCUCCUCUCCUUCUGCAGCGAGGAGCGCGGCGAGCCGGCGACCAUCCUCCUCCCCUGCGAAGCAGCGCCGGCGCAGACCCAGCGCAGGAGGCAGAGACAGGGCUGUACGCGCAACAUCCAGACGGAUAUUGUUCUCCGUGAGCAGCACCGGCGCGCCAGAAGCAGAGUCGGCGAGGGUUUAGGGGAAAGCCGCGGCAGCGAGCGACCUCCUCCUUCGUGCUUGGAUUUCUCUGCCGGCCCUCCCCGCCGGAUCCUCCUCCGGGUAUCCUCGCCUUCCUCCCCCCUCCCGCCUUCCAGUAUCGCUCGCCUCCCCGUCCCGUAAUCCAUGAAUCCAUCACAGCUCGGGGAUUUUCCUUUAAGUGACAAUGCAGGAACAGAACGUGCAGGACCUCUGGAGGGAGGGCAGGGAAAAUGACGAGGUGAAAUGGGAGAAAUUAAGACUGAGGAUUAAAGAAGAGGAGGACGCACUUCAUAGGCGUGGGUGGUUUGGAGCUAAUUUCUUCAAUUGGAGUGACCGCCGGUGUGUAGCAGACGGCGGAGAGGCAUGAACAUCUCUGAACGAACCGCUUACACCGCAGCAGCCACACAUUCCAUUGGACACAAACACCCCGGAAGUAACGACAGUUGGGACUUCAAUGCCUGUGGCUCAGCUGGAGGUACACCCUGAAGGGAUUCACUUUACGUCUUCAAGGUCUGAAAGGCCAACGGUUUAUGAUAUCCGGGCUCGUCCUCAUUUUUUUGAGAGUAUUUCUAAGAGCAAGGACUUCCGAAUGGUGAAAAUUGGUGUCCGUGUCCUUACAAGGCAGGGGCAGAAUUUCAACAAGAGGGUCUUAGCAUCAAUCAUCCAUGUAGUACUCACAGCUGUUGUUGCUGAGUACAAUGCUGGUCAGCUAUUAGCACACAGAGAGGCUCUGGGUAAUGAGAUUAAGAGGUUACUGAUAGACAGGGCAAUGAACAUGAAAAUUUCCCUCGAUGAUGUGUCCAUUACUACCCUUAGUUUACUUUCUGAAGAAGAAAAUUCUGAGAAAGCUGAGCAGGACAGCAGCAGCGGAAUUAUCAGGGCACAGCUGGGUGAUAACAACUGGGACAAGCUGCAAACAUACUUAACCCUUGCUUUAGUCGUCGGGUUGACAAUCUUGCUUUCAGUCCAGUCUCUAAUGCCUUCUGAGUAUCUAUGCUAUAUCAUUGGUGUAUUUGCCACAGUAUGGAUAUUCGGGACUAUUGCUCUUCUCUGUGGUUUGUUCGGAACUUACAGAUACGAGAAGAGCUUUAGCCGUCAUGUUGGACGCUUCACGUUCUUGUGUUUUUCAAUCUUUGUUCUAUAUGUCUUCUUCCUCAUUUCAAAACCAAUUGAACCGCCCACCUCUUCACUCAACCCUCCAUCACCGUCAGCACCCUUAGUAAUGACAAUGGACAGCCGUGCACUAUUUUUCCUUGCACUUGGACUUAUAGUGUUGGCUGGUCACAUCUAUUCUUGGGUCAUGGGUUGUCGUACAGGCUCUGACAUAUAGGUGUUGGACUGACACCUGCAUCAAAUCUGACUGAUUGCACAAGGAGGUGAAUGGUGCUCUGAGUUGAUCUGACCGGUUCUCCUUUACAAUGUGCUUAUUCAGGGGAAGCGUCACGUGCUGGGGAUAGGAUGUGGUGUCUAUGUAGCUGUAAAAUACGAUGAUGCAAGAACUUGCGUUUUCGGCACAGUAACGAGGCAAUUCAUGGACUGGUUGUUUCUCCGUGGUUUUUUCAUGUCACGAUUCCUGGGGAAAGUUUCGUGUAGCUGUAACAUGAUCCUACAUAAUUCUGAUUCAGAGAGGGUAACCGUGAUGAGCAUACCAUCAACCAUGACCGUGAGUCUCCAAAACAUGUGUAAUCUUUUACAAUGAUACUGCAGCUUGUAGGUUAUAUGCCUGUAUAUAUGACGAGAGGUGAGAAUUAAGA
This is a non-coding RNA of Lolium perenne, 1976 nucleotides long. The record is from RefSeq and is a predicted model, not a curated record. NCBI's taxonomy places the organism in Eukaryota, Viridiplantae, Streptophyta, Magnoliopsida, Poales, Poaceae.